Molecule: long non-coding RNA, 313 nt
Organism: Apis florea (little honeybee)
Lineage: Eukaryota; Metazoa; Arthropoda; Insecta; Hymenoptera; Apidae
Source: RefSeq, a predicted model, not a curated record
CAGGAUGGGACCAAGAAACCGCGCGACAUUUUCGGGCGACGAAAAGCGGAAUCGCAGGAGCAGGAGGCCAGCUUGAAAUGCCCUGGAAGCAAAAUCGAUAUUUAAUUUUAACGAAGCCGAGGCCGCACAAAAGAAUAUUCUCUCUCGGUUCCCCGUAACGAGAGCUCGAGAGUCGACUCGUCCUCUUUCACCUUCCGUUUUCCCUCCCCUUUUCCUCCUCCCCCCUCCUCUCCUUCUCCCUUACCGAUCUGCUUUUCGUCUUUGUGUCUGGUGUCUGCGUCGCGAAGCCUCCACUGCUUCUCGAGCGAAAGUA